ACGAGCUAAAGGUCAAACUAGACACUGGUGCACAUGUAAACAUUAUUCCUCUGAAUAAGUACCGAAGCUUGACAUCGGAGUGCGAGCUACAGCCCACCAAGCGCAGACUGACCUUUUUAAAGAAUAACUUUUAACAAGAAGCUAAGUUUCAAUUUAUCAUCAUCUGAUUGAGAACCUCGAGAAACAAUUGGAGAGGCAUACUUACUGUGAUAUGUGGUUGUCCCACCUAGCUAUCUCAAAGAAUGAAGCCUGUGCUGCUAAGGAUGUGUUGGAGAGGGAAAUGGCUCCUCCGUUAGAGGUGAUAGGAGAGGAGACGUAAUCCAUCAGGGAGUGCCAGCGUUUCUGUUCCGUCUCUCUCUCUCUGGGCCAGGGCUAGCAGAGCAUGACGGCUACCACAGAACAGUGGCAAACAUCUGACAGCCUGACUGACAUUAGGUUCUGUAAACCCAGCAGCCGAUACCAUCUCUGUCUGGGUGACCUCAUGAGGCUCAUGUCCAUCUACUGCUUCCUGUGUUCUCCCUGUAAAGCUACAGAGGGAGCUGAGGACUGACGAGAACAUCUGUCUGAAGGCUUGACCAGAAGCAGGCACUCUUUGAAGCUAUUGACUUAGCUAGCUGCUCUCUAUAAAAUGGUUCUUCAGCUAGCUAACUGUUAUGUCCUUUUUUUCUUGUUUAUUUUUGGUCUGUAUACUGCAAUUCAGCUUUUAGCAGCGAAUGUGUACAAGAUAGCCUAACCAAUCAUAAAUAAAUACUUGAUAUAAACUAACAGCCAUCCACAGGCUGCUAGCACAGCUACCGCUAGCCUUCACUUCUUUCUGUGUG
Coregonus clupeaformis (lake whitefish) is the source of this 821-nucleotide long non-coding RNA. RefSeq lists it as uncharacterized. The record is from RefSeq and is a predicted model, not a curated record. NCBI's taxonomy places the organism in Eukaryota, Metazoa, Chordata, Actinopteri, Salmoniformes, Salmonidae. The transcript has 4 exons.